UACAGAGGUCCCAAGCGUUGUUCGGAUUCAUUGGGCGUAAAGGGUGCGUAGGCGGCGCGGUAAGUCGGGUGUGAAAUCUCGGAGCUUAACUCCGAAACUGCAUUCGAUACUGCCGUGCUUGAGGACUGGAGAGGAGACUGGAAUUUACGGUGUAGCGGUGAAAUGCGUAGAUAUCGUAAGGAAGACCAGUGGCGAAGGCGACUCUUUGGCCUGUAACUGACGCUGAGGCGCGAAAGCGUGGGGAGCAAACAGG
RNAcentral lists this ribosomal RNA (253 nucleotides) under uncultured bacterium. RNAcentral describes it as "partial 16S ribosomal RNA". It matches the Rfam family "Bacterial small subunit ribosomal RNA", at positions 524 to 776 of the family's 1533-position model. The record is from RNAcentral.